CAUGAAUGAACUGUUCUGCACAGCCUGCUGAGCUUGGUAGACGCUUUUUCUGAUGAGCAGAGAUUUUAACGAGUCCCGAGAUGAUUGUUUCCAGAAGACCACAUCUCAAGCAUUUGGAGCAAGUGAGCAUGUGGACCUGAGACUUCACUGCCCACUCGUGUCUCAGGCAGGAAGAGGAAACCUUGGAAUUGUUGCUGGUUUGC
This is a long non-coding RNA of Mus musculus (house mouse), 203 nucleotides long. RefSeq annotates it as predicted gene, 31101. The transcript has 3 exons. Lineage: Eukaryota; Metazoa; Chordata; Mammalia; Rodentia; Muridae. The record is from RefSeq and is a predicted model, not a curated record.